Molecule: ribosomal RNA, 472 nt
Filed under: uncultured bacterium
Lineage: Bacteria
Description: bacterial SSU rRNA
Rfam family: Bacterial small subunit ribosomal RNA
Source: RNAcentral
CGCUAACACUCCUACGGGAGGCAGCAGUGGGGAAUAUUGCACAAUGGGGGAAACCCUGAUGCAGCCAUGCCGCGUGUGUGAAGAAGGCCUUCGGGUUGUAAAGCACUUUCAGUAGGGAGGAAGGUAGUGUAGUUAACACCUGCAUUAUUUGACGUUACCUACAGAAGAAGCACCGGCUAACUCCGUGCCAGCAGCCGCGGUAAUACGGAGGGUGCGAGCGUUAAUCGGAAUUACUGGGCGUAAAGCGCAUGCAGGCGGCCUGUUAAGUCAGAUGUGAAAGCCCGGGGCUUAACCUCGGAAUUGCAUUUGAAACUGGCAGGCUAGAGUCUUGUAGAGGGGGUAGAAUUUCAGGUGUAGCGGUGAAAUGCGUAGAGAUCUGAAGGAAUACCAGUGGCGAAGGCGGCCCCCUGGACAAAGACUGACGCUCAGAUGCGAAAGCGUGGGGAGCAAACAGGAUUAGAUACCCUGGUAG